CUUACAAAAUUAGACGCGCUGCCCGCUUCUCUUGCUAUUUUGACGCGUGCGUGCUUGGCAUAAGCAUGUUCUCUGUGGAGUUACCUUGAUCUUACUACAGCUUCCUCUGUUGUCGUCUGUGACUUGCUCCUCUAUUUUCUUCGUCUAUUCUGUAUCCUGUAUACCUGUGCCUUAUCUCCAAUUCUUGCUAUAAAUUCCCAACUUGAUUUGUUCUACCCACAACACACUCAGUUUCUUGGAGUUUCCUGCCUUAUCCUUAAAAGGGACCCUGUUAUGCAUUCAUUGGACAUCACAUAGAUACACAACCACUGGUUCAUCCAAAUGACAUGAGAAAAGCAUAAGAAUGAACAAGUUGAUGGGAGAAAUUGGCGUCUUCUUAGAGUCUCUGGAAACCUUUUAGCUUCCUCACAUUUUAAUGGAAUGCUAACCACAUGCGACCUGGUUCUCGACCUUCAUAUGAAUUUUAUACGAGUCUUUCUAACUGCUGCAAAAUUUUCUUUUCUCGGAUUUUUUUAGCUCAUUUAGUGCUAUAAGAGUACUUUUGAGAUUUUUACUAAAAUUUUAUUGUUGCAACAGUUUAUUUGUAUCAUCAGGUGUUACUGCAAAGCCAUAUGAUUUUUGGGUAACAUAUGGAUUACAGAGAGCAGGAUUAAAAAGAAUAAGAUUUCUGUUGCAA
Nicotiana tabacum (common tobacco) is the source of this 676-nucleotide long non-coding RNA. RefSeq lists it as uncharacterized. The record is from RefSeq and is a predicted model, not a curated record. Lineage: Eukaryota; Viridiplantae; Streptophyta; Magnoliopsida; Solanales; Solanaceae.